This is a non-coding RNA of Plectropomus leopardus (leopard coralgrouper), 205 nucleotides long. NCBI's taxonomy places the organism in Eukaryota, Metazoa, Chordata, Actinopteri, Perciformes, Serranidae. The record is from RefSeq and is a predicted model, not a curated record.
CAGAUGAUGGAUCAGGGUACAAAGCUGCUCUGCUGUCGGGACCUCCAGGUGUGGGGAAGACCACCACAGCUGCCCUGGUCUGUGAGCUCAGCUGAUUUUCCAUUGUUGAUAAAGGGAGGGAAGCUGAAAGACCUGGAUGAGAUCACAGGCUUAAGAGCUACACAGGAUUCAUUGAAGGCUUGAGACUCCUGCACUGAGACAGCAC